RNAcentral lists this ribosomal RNA (554 nucleotides) under Trichobotrys effusa. RNAcentral's name for it is "eukaryotic LSU rRNA". The stretch from base 178 to 331 matches the Rfam family "5.8S ribosomal RNA". Lineage: Eukaryota; Fungi; Ascomycota; Dothideomycetes; Pleosporales. The record is from RNAcentral.
GGGGCUCAUAGCUGGAGCUGGCUGGCUUGCCAGCUAGCUCUGGCUAACAAACCCUUACCACCUUUGCCUAUUUGUACCUCUUGUUCAUCCCUCGGCGGGGACGCCUGCCGCUAGGGACCCCCAUUCAACCUUUUUGCAUCAAAAAGUAUGACCUGAAAACAAAAACACAAUUAUUACAACUUUCAACAAUGGAUCUCUUGGUUCUGGCAUCGAUGAAGAACGCAGCGAAAUGCGAUAAGUAGUGUGAAUUGCAGACUUUAGUGAAUCAUCGAAUUUUUGAACGCACAUUGCGCCCCUUGGUAUUCCAUUGGGCAUGCCUGUUCGAGCGUCAUUUACACCGUCAAGCUCUGCUUGGUGUUGGGCGUUUGUCUCUUCCUUGAGGGGGGACUCGCCUUAAAGCGAUUGGCAGCAGCCCUUUUGGCCAGCUUCUUGCGCAGCACUUUUGCGCUUAGUGAGCCAGCCGAGGGCUUGCGAACCAGCAAGCAACCCCUCUUUUUGACCUCGAAUCAGGUAGGGAUACCCGCUGAACUUAAGCAUAUCAAUAAGCGGAGGAA